Molecule: non-coding RNA, 829 nt
Organism: Paramuricea clavata
Lineage: Eukaryota; Metazoa; Cnidaria; Anthozoa; Malacalcyonacea; Plexauridae
Source: the annotation of a GenBank genome assembly
CAACAGGGAUUCUUUACCAUGAAGCCAAAUAAAAAAUAUAUCAUCCAAAAAUCUGAACCAUACUGAAGGACUCAAGUGAUACCCCGCUAACAUUUUAUUUUCCAAUUCUGCCAUAAAAAUAUUUGCGAACGCUGGAGCAAAUUUUGUGCCAAUGGCUGUCCCUAACUUUUGUUUAUACACUUUUCAACGAAUUCAAAAUAAUUGUUAUCUAAUAUAAUUUUGGCUAAAUCAAUCAAAUCAUCUACAGAAAGUCCCUCCCUUUUAUCCAUACCACAAUUUUUUCUGAAAUCCUCAAUACUUUUUCUCAUACUAGACAGACCUUCCAAAUGAGGAAUAUGCGGGUACAGUCCCACAACAUCCAUUGUGCACAAAAUCGCUCCCUCUGGAAUAUCACCCAAAUCCUGCAGCCUUUUCAAAAAAUCCGUUGUAUCCCUUAUAACAUUGGGCAGACUCUUAACAAUAGGUUGUAAAUAAUGAUCCACUAAUUCCGACAAACCCUCCGUCGGUGUCCCACAGUUAGAUAUAACUGGACGACCUGGGACAUCAACUAGCCGUUUGUGAAUUUUUGGAAGUAAAUAGAAUCUGCCCAAUUUAUUAUUCUUAUUCCUUAGAUAAUUCAAAUUCUUUUCGCUAAUAACCCCCUUUCCUUUCAAAUUCUCUAAUUUAUUCCGAACUAUUUCUGAAACCUUUGCAAGUGGAUUUCCUUCUUCCGAUACAUUUUCGUAAACUAAAACAUCAGCCAAUUGUCUAUUAGCGUCCUUACAAUAAUCCUCUAAUCCCCAAACCACUACCGCAGACCCCUUAUCAGCCUCUUUUAUUACUAUAUCCC